UACGGGGGGGGGCAAGCGUUGUUCGGAAUUACUGGGCGUAAAGGGCUCGUAGGCGGCCAACUAAGUCGGAUGUGAAAUCCCCAGGCUUAACUUGGGAACUGCAUCCGAUACUGGAUGGCUUGAAUCCGGGAGAGGGAUGCGGAAUUCCAGGUGUAGCGGUGAAAUGCGUAGAUAUCUGGAGGAACACCGGUGGCGAAGGCAAUCCCCUGGGCCUGUACUGACGCUCAUGCACGAAAGCGUGGGGAGCAAACAGG
Molecule: ribosomal RNA, 254 nt
Filed under: uncultured bacterium
Lineage: Bacteria
Description: partial 16S ribosomal RNA
Rfam family: Bacterial small subunit ribosomal RNA
Source: RNAcentral